CAUCUCGAGUGCUGCUCAGGUGGGGGCGUCACGGCAGGCGUCCGUCUCAUCUCCGUCAGCUUCCUCCGUUUCGUGACCGAUCUUCAGGCCAUCAAGACGUUCUUCCUUUUAAAGUCUGGUUUUCCAGAUGCUCCCCUGCCAGAUCGCUUGAACACGAACAGGAUCCGGGCUCUAACGGUGGGUUCUCUGUAAUACGCAGCAAGCUGUAAGAGACGGAUGCUCUUCCCCGCGACACCCAGAAUCUGGUGCCUGAGGCAGAGGCUUUGAAUAUCACGACUGAAAGGUCUGCGGAAGCCUUUCCAGAGAUCAUCGGUGAGGCUACAAAGUCAACUGAAUGCAAGCAAUCGUCAGCAUGUACAGAAGUAUCACCAUAUGCCGGGGGGUGGGGGAGAGAAGUUCAUUUAGAGACCCUGAUUCUUCCCUUUGGGGGAGGCCAGGAGGAAAGAGCCCCUAAGCAGCUAUUUUAAGCUGUUUUUUUUUCCUUGGGGGAAGAGAAAUUUUGCAUUUCUUCUCUCCCUCAGCACAGGUCUUUGCUGUCCCCCCUGGCUGAGUUUAUAGGGCCAGCCAAGAGAGAACCCUGCCCGGUGUGAGAAGGAGGAGCCCACAGGCAAGGGAGCAGCUGCUGACCCUCCUUCUUGUGCUAAUGAACUAAUUAAUCACGGUAAAUAAGGCUGGCGAUCAACUCCAUCCUGAUGGAGAGCCAGCGCCAGGUGGGGGCCAGGCAGGAGGAGGCCCAGGUGGCCGACUGAGGGUCUGGAAAGAGAUUGGUCUCAAAACCGGGAAGGUCCCCGAGCAGCCCUGGAUGGGGACAGGGAGGCAUGUCCCUGUCCAUCAUCCUUCUGUAGGAGGCCUCCGCUCCUGCUGUGAUGAUAACUCCUGGCACACAGACAUGGAUGGAGGCCUCAUCAAAAGGAUGGAAUCCUAGAACAAACAUCAACAAUGGGAUUAAGAAUAGAAGAAGUGGCUUUCUGAAUGCACAGCCUCCGGAGCCUGAAUUAGCUAAUUUGUACCUGAAACAAGCAUUUUGUAGUUAUCAUGGUAGAAUGGUAAAUAUGUAAAUAAUAAGAAACAACGACAACAAUAAACAAUGUUUAAUUUGAUCA
Molecule: long non-coding RNA, 1103 nt
Filed under: Pogona vitticeps (central bearded dragon)
Lineage: Eukaryota; Metazoa; Chordata; Lepidosauria; Squamata; Agamidae
Description: lncRNA (ENSPVIG00000006074.1)
Source: RNAcentral